This 408-nucleotide ribosomal RNA is filed under the name uncultured WCHB1 bacterium. Its description in RNAcentral is "bacterial SSU rRNA". It matches the Rfam family "Bacterial small subunit ribosomal RNA", at positions 506 to 916 of the family's 1533-position model. The record is from RNAcentral.
UGCCAGCAGCCGCGGUAAUACGGAGGAUGCAAGCGUUAUCCGGAUUUAUUGGGUUUAAAGGGUGCGCAGGCGGCCUUAUAAGUCAGUGGUGAAAUCUUACGGCUCAACCGUAAAACUGCCAUUGAUACUGUAGGGCUAGAGUACAGACGAGGUAGGCGGAAUGUAGCAUGUAGCGGUGAAAUGCUUAGAUAUGCUACAGAACACCGAUCGCGAAGGCAGCUUACCAGACUGUAACUGACGCUAAUGCACGAAAGCGUGGGGAGCAAACAGGAUUAGAUACCCUGGUAGUCCACGCUGUAAACGAUGAUCACUCGAUGUUGGCGAUAUACAGUCAGCGUCCAAGCGAAAGUAUUAAGUGAUCCACCUGGGGAGUACGAUCGCAAGGUUGAAACUCAAAGGAAUUGACGG